Molecule: long non-coding RNA, 3353 nt
Filed under: Nicotiana tabacum (common tobacco)
Lineage: Eukaryota; Viridiplantae; Streptophyta; Magnoliopsida; Solanales; Solanaceae
Description: long non-coding RNA (NTAB_LNC015899)
Source: RNAcentral
AAAAAAUUAGACCUAUACCUACACCCUAAGAACUCUAGAAUGAGCCGCAGCUGAAGCCAUCAGCUCUAACUUAACUACUUGGCAGAAUCUUGCCAAAAUUCAACGCCCCUCACUCCCUGCAAAUUCCCACAAGCCAACCCCCCAAGAAGACAAUCGGCCACCCCUUUUAAUUCCCCAUCCCCCUCGCUAGAGAACGAAAAAGAAAACUAGCCGCAGACACACAUAGAGGGACGACAGUCUCUUUAAAAAUGAAAGAGAAGACCAGCCGCUAAAGAAAAAUUAAUCCAGCUUCGGUAAGUUUUCUAUCCAGCUUUCAAUAUGUGCAGGUGUAAAUUAAUCUUUAUAUUAAAGUUGAUAUGUACAUUUUAUUGGUUGGAAUAAUCUGAAUCGAAAGGAGUGCUAAUGUUUGUUUUAGCGAUGAUCUUUUGGUGUUUCCAUCUUCAAAUUAAGUAGCCUCAGCUAUCUCUUUGUGUGUGUGAUUUUAAAUCUUAGAAACAUUGCAUUGGAUCGAAGCUAGCAAGUUUUUCUUUUAAAAAAAAAGUGGCCAUUUCCUGUUCAUUAGUUUUAGCAUUUUUAAUUCAAGGUUAAAUGGUUGCAUGACUAGUUAUAAGAAUUAAUUGUAGUUUUUGUCUUAUCUUUGGAUAGUGAUCUGCACAUAAUUGAGUUAAAUCUUAUUAGCUAGAGUCUUAUAUCAUUCCACAACAAUUUCCCUAAUUCAAGGCCUCGCAAUAAUUUCAAAGAUUAGGAAAAUAAUUCAAAUACGCUUGUGGCUUUAGGCACGCAAUUAGAUUAUUACAACUAUGGGUACGGUUCCCGUAACGUGGUUGUGACACCUAAUUUUAAAUUAGAUUAAAGUAGGAGCAUCUUUAGUUUGCCUCCAAAAAAAUACAAAUCUUUUCCUUUAAAAAUAAUUUGAGGUGCGUCAUACACAAAUAAAAUCCUAUAAUCUAUGGCCCUCACAUAAAUACAAACAUUAGUCUGCAAAACGCCUUGAAUUUUCGUAACGUUAAUUAAAUAAAUUGUCAUAGCUAUGGGUACGGUUCCCGUGACGUAGUUGUGACGCUUAACUACUAAAAUCUUGGGGUACAUUUAUGUGGCCCGGCCCCAAUUUAAUCUUAAUAAAAUAAAUACGUUGUGGAUCGUGGGUACGGUUCCAGUGACAUGAUUCACAACGUGUAAUCAAUAAUUAGUUGUAUAACAGUUGGAUUAUUAAAACCGAUUUUAAAAAAGAGUUUAAAAUGCACAUAGGUCUCAAAGAUGUUUUAAAAUCAAAUAAAUAGGCCAGUAUUAAUAGUUGAGCGACUGUGCCAAAACCACGGAACUCGGGAAUGCCUAACACCUUCUCCCAGGUUAACAGAAUUCCUUACCCAAAUUUCUGUGUUCGCGGACUGUAAAACAAAGUCAUAUUUUCCUCGAUUCGGUAUUUUAAACCGGUGACUUGGGAAACCAAUAAACUAUCUAAAGUGACGGCUUUGAAUUUAACAUAAAUGAUCCCGUUUCGAUUGUCACUUAAAUUGGAAAAACUCUCCUAUAACCUUUCGGGGGUAGAAAAAAGAGGUGUGACAGCUCUGGCGACUCUGCUGGGGACAAGAACCCAGAAUCUCUGGUUCAGGGUUCAAGAUUUCGAACUUAGAAUAAUUGUUAUAUUUGGCUUUGUUUAUUACCUGGUUUUAAUUACAUGUUUGGGCCUAAUGUGCUAAAUCUUGCUUUUUACCGCUUUGAUAUUAUCCGAACUAUAUAUAAACUGCUACGAAACCCUUCUCUUCUCACCUUCGGGGAUGUGCACGCUGGCGUGACUCCUCUUCUGUUAGUGUCAUACCUUAAAUUAGGAAAAGGCUCGGACAAGUUACAAAACCGGAUGGCCUUUUGGUUUCCAGUACGUAGCCCCCCAUCGGCUCGAGUUGUCCGCUCGGGUACACAAGUCUAGAACAACAUACCCAAGUUUUAAACUUAGAAUAACUCAGCUUCAUGACGGAUCCUUAGUAGGAACGCUUGUUUGCAUCAUAUGCAUUUGACUUUGGAGACUCAACACAAGGGUUGGGUCCGUCUAGGACAGAUGUACCUAAAAAAAAGACCAUCCCGAUGCAUCCUAUGUGCUACACUUUUGCAAUUUUCAAGGGUAAAAGGGUCAUUUGGCGGACCAAUAAUAGUUGAGGAAAAAUAAAAAUAAAAGAAAAAGAGAGGGUGAAGUGUGAAAAAUAAAGCAAGUAGGGCCCAAUUAUGUUUUUAGUCACAUUUUUAUUAAGAACAAGAAAAAAAAAUGAACAAUUCAAAAAAAAAGAUUUUGUACCUUUUUUAUCAUUUUUCGAAGAUCAAAAAUUAAAAAAAAGGAAAAGAAAAUCCAAAAAGAAAAAGAGUUUACAUGUUUCAUCAUUUUUCAAAAAAAAGAGAAAAAAAAACAUAUUUUUCUAUAAAUUAGUUUGUUGUUUUUUUUAAUUCUCGCCUGUAUCCAAUCUGCCCGAACUACGCAUACCUGAUCCUCGUCUUUCGGGGCGUGAUACGUAGGCAACCCACAUAGGGUCCGGUCUUCCUAGUAAGUCUUAGGUUUUUGGCUUCGCGAGGUCGUAGCCAAAUCUUGCAUGUCUAGCCACUUUUGGCCACAUCGGUCAUUAUGCAAAAUAUGGCUAUUUUUGCAAAGUGGUUUGUUUCAUUGUCUGGAGUCUUGAAUUCACAAUUAGGUGUCUCUUUACUUUAUAGGUCCGUCCUUGUCAAAAUUGCAUGUCGAGCCGCUUUUGGCCACAUAGGCCAUUUUGCAAAGUGGGGUUAUUUUCGCGAAAGUGGUUCAAUUACCCCAUGUUUUAGAGUUCUAAGUCCACAACAAGAUGUUCUCUCUGUUCAAGGUCCAUUCUGUUGGAUUUGCAUGCUUAGCCAUCUUUUGGCCACAUUGGCCAUUUCUACAAAAUCGGUUAUUUCUACAAAAGUAAUUUUUCCAUGUCUUAGAGGUCACCUUUGUUGAGUUUGCAUUUCUAGCCGUCUUUUGGCCAUGUUAGCUAUUUUGCACAAUCAUGUCUUGCAUGUGUAACAGGGAGUGUUAUUGUCUCACAUAGUGUUCUAAAUUCUUAACUCUAUUUGUCUUUAGUUUCUUAUGCAAGUAUAAAUCUACUUAACAGAAUUUGAGCAUGACAAACACCCCAGGACCGCCUGGUCAGGACCAUUGCAUCCAGGAGUUUCUUAAGGAGGAAUUUUUUAUAUUUUGAGUCUGUUUCUUUUAUGAUGUCUUGUACUUUAUAGUUAUGUCCAGUAGCAAUGAUCUUUUAGUUGGUGUCGGAGUUUGUCGUAGUAUAGUUGAGUUGAGUUUCUCAUUAUCCUAUUUCCUGUUUUUGUUUUGAAAAUCAAAAAACGUUGUAAAUGAA